AGAUUAAACUGAAGAGUUUGAUCCUGGCUCAGAUUGAACGCUGGCGGCAUGCCUUACACAUGCAAGUCGAACGGCAGCGCGGGGCAACCUGGCGGCGAGUGGCGAACGGGUGAGUAAUAUAUCGGAACGUACCCUGGAGUGGGGGAUAACGUAGCGAAAGUUACGCUAAUACCGCAUACGAUCUAAGGAUGAAAGUGGGGGAUCGCAAGACCUCAUGCUCCUGGAGCGGCCGAUAUCUGAUUAGCUAGUUGGUGGGGUAAAGGCCUACCAAGGCAUCGAUCAGUAGCUGGUCUGAGAGGACGACCAGCCACACUGGAACUGAGACACGGUCCAGACUCCUACGGGAGGCAGCAGUGGGGAAUUUUGGACAAUGGGCGCAAGCCUGAUCCAGCAAUGCCGCGUGAGUGAAGAAGGCCUUCGGGUUGUAAAGCUCUUUUGUCAGGGAAGAAA
RNAcentral lists this ribosomal RNA (450 nucleotides) under Allobosea sp. RNAcentral describes it as "bacterial SSU rRNA". It matches the Rfam family "Bacterial small subunit ribosomal RNA", at positions 1 to 450 of the family's 1533-position model. The record is from RNAcentral. Lineage: Bacteria; Pseudomonadati; Pseudomonadota; Alphaproteobacteria; Hyphomicrobiales; Alloboseaceae.